UGUGGAAUCUUGCACAAUGUGCGCAAGCCUGAUGCAGCGACGCCGCGUGUGGGAUGACGGCCUUCGGGUUGUAAACUCCUUUCGCUAGGGACUACUCUUUUUGUUACGGUACCUAUUUAAGAAGCCCCGUCUAUCUACGUGCCAACAGCCGCGGUAAUACGUAGGGUGCGAGCGUUUUCCGGAAUUACUGGGCGUAAAGGGCUCGUAGGUGGUUUGUCGCGUCGUCUGUGAAAUUCCGGGGCUUAACUCCGGGCGUGCAGGCGAUACGGGCAUAAAUUGAGUACUGUAGGGGUAACUGGAAUUCCUGGUGUAGCGGUGAAAUGCGCAGAUAUCAGGAGGAACACCGAUGGCGAAGGCAGGUUACUGGGCAGUUACUGACGCUGAGGAGCGAAAGCAUGGGUAGCGAACAGG
Molecule: ribosomal RNA, 411 nt
Filed under: Actinomycetes bacterium
Lineage: Bacteria; Bacillati; Actinomycetota; Actinomycetes
Description: Actinobacteria bacterium partial 16S ribosomal RNA
Rfam family: Bacterial small subunit ribosomal RNA
Source: RNAcentral